This 519-nucleotide ribosomal RNA is filed under the name uncultured eukaryote. RNAcentral describes it as "SSU rRNA". It matches the Rfam family "Eukaryotic small subunit ribosomal RNA", at positions 1161 to 1700 of the family's 1831-position model. The record is from RNAcentral.
AGGGCACCACCAGGAGUGGAGCCUGCGGCUUAAUUUGACUCAACACGGGAAAACUCACCCGGCCCGGACACUGGAAGGAUUGACAGAUUGAGAGCUCUUUCUUGAUUCAGUGGGUGGUGGUGCAUGGCCGUUCUUAGUUGGUGGAGUGAUUUGUCUGGUUAAUUCCGAUAACGAACGAGACUCUAGCCUACUAAAUAGAUCGUCGGCUUACAAACGCCGACGAGACUUCUUAGAGGGACAGGCGGCGAUUCAGCCGCACGAAACAGAGCAAUAACAGGUCUGUGAUGCCCUUAGAUGUCCGGGGCCGCACGCGCGCUACACUGAAGUGAUCAGCGUGCUUUUUCAACCUACUCUGUCAAGAGUGGGGAACCCAAUGAACCUUCUUCGUGAUUGGGAUAGGGGAUUGUAAUUAUUCCCCUUGAACGAGGAAUUCCCAGUAAGCGCGAGUCAUAAGCUCGCGUUGAUUACGUCCCUGCCCUUUGUACACACCGCCCGUCGCUACUACGAUUGAAUGUUUUA